AGACUAUAUUGCCAACAAAUGUUCCUUCCCACUUUUUAACCAUGGGUAAAACUUCCCAAGAAAAGGACUCUGAAAACAGGCUGGUGUUGUGUUGCACAACCUGCAACAAAACAUAUUGUCUUUAAAGAUCAUUCAAAACCUACUGUUUUGCAAGUCUAUUGUGGUGUGGAAUUGCCCAGCUAGAUUGAUGUGGCAAGAUAUUUGGAAAGCAAGUUCAAACAUUUACUUGAGAAUUGGAUUGUGGGAGGAAUUUCAAACUUGUUUUUAGUUUUAUUUUUUUUCUGUACUGCAGUACUACUUGAAUCUGUAAUAUAUGAUCAUUAUUUGGCCUCCAAUUUAUUUUGAACCCAUUGAGGAUUUGUGGGAGACCUCCCAGUAAUUUCUUACUGUGUUUUGCAUAAGCCGUACCUCUGCUUUACAUAGGAUAAUCAGGAUAACAAUUAGUGCUCUUACAGUCCACAGAGUGAGAAGGAACUAGUGAGGAAGUUCUAAAAAGUAGCUUUAUUUCCCCGGCAUUCAAGAGAGCUAACUGCUUCAGAAUAAGCAAAGACUUACAGAAUAUAUUUUAUUAGCUUGCUGUGAACCAUCACAGAGAACUGAUUAUUUCUCAGGCCAGUCUACAAUAACCAUUCCUUCUGGCUUGUCUCCAGUAUUAUCUAGAAAAUUUCUUCCUAAGGCAAGAUGUCCCAGUGUGAUUUACAGCCCAAUCUGGCUAUCCAGAUAGAUAUUUGGUCUCCUGAGUAAUACAGAAAAACACUUCUCUCCUUUAUUCAACUAAAUUUCUUUUUGCAGAGGGAACUUUUUUAGGAGCACAAUCAGACUCUGUCCAAAACUCUUUAUGGCUUCCUCAGCUGGGGUUGCCAAAACACUCAGCAUUGAUCAAGCAGUCCUCCCACUAAGGCCAAUGGGAUCAAAGUGAGCCCCUGAAAGAGGAGUUUGUAAAAACAUACAUAUCCUAUUAGACAUCUAAGUGCUCAGGGCUAUAAAAGCUGCUAUUGUAGGCAGCUAUAAAUGUUUAGUAUUUGCAUUCUAACAGCAUCCAAAAUGUGCCCUGCUGUGUCCACACCUUCAUGAAAUCAGGGUUAAAGGAAUUCUUUCCCAUUUUGAAAUCAUCUGAGUAUUAUCAGAAUUUCCCAUUGAUUCCUUGAUUCAAAGAACUUACUUUUGCUACAACAGUAGAAUAUUUACUUAUGUAUAAAUAGGCUGUCUUGGGUUGACAUUUUGUAUUAUGAAUUUUAAUUAUCUAAUUUGUUGUUGGUCUAGUUUAAUUAUUUUAUAUUUUGACAAUGCAGUUAAAGCUCUAUUGUUUGUGGAUUGUAAAGAAGGAAGAACUGGAAAUAAAUUCCUUCAUUAUUAGGUUGAAGAGAAACCAUCUACCCCCACAAUCAUGUGGGACUAAUAUUGUGAAUGUUUUUCUUCUUGCAUUAAAGUAAACAGAUGAAAGGUCUACAAAAGUUUGUGGCCAGACAAACAAAGAAGUGAUUUACUAUGUUAAUUCAUUCUAAUUUCAUUAAUUUUUAAUGUGCAUUUUGUAGAACAAUGUUCUAUGCAAAAUUCCAAACUAAAAACCUGCUGUAUGAGAAGGAUGUUAAUAAAUUUGCUUAUUUAAGUAAGCUUGUUUUUAAAUUAAAAAUUGACCAUGA
Molecule: long non-coding RNA, 1643 nt
Organism: Oxyura jamaicensis (ruddy duck)
Lineage: Eukaryota; Metazoa; Chordata; Aves; Anseriformes; Anatidae
Exons: 2
Source: RefSeq, a predicted model, not a curated record